UCCAACAAAAUUGUUAGGACGUUGCAAAAUAUGUUGGAGGAAUUAGUUUUCUCUCUGUUUUUGUCUCUUCCGGACAAUCCGGAAGGUGCAAUCCAAGACGGAAGAGAAAAAUAAUCCUUUGUUUUUGACAUUUCAAAUUGGUCGGAAAAUGCAAACACGUUUUCUUUCAACAGAUUUUCGUAAAAGUUACUGAUCGCGGAAUUCGACGCGGACGGUCGGAAUUGGUUCGCUGGGUCAACGCGGAUGGUCGGAACUGUCGUGGGGGAAAGAGUUGGGGUUUAUCCUCCAGCGCAAACCCACUCCCACUGGAUGGUGUCCAAAUGGUGGUCCGACGGAAGCUGCAACUGUGACUCCUCGUAGUAUCGAUGACCGCUCCAGCACCUCGGGUUCAAUCUGUUUCCGCGAUUAGACCGUCAGCUAACCGAUACUACUCCAAGAGCCUAGCUACGAGACAAUCACCUUUCCAUUUUGCCCACUCGCACGCUUAAGACGCCAUCUGCUUUUGCUAAUCGAGUUCAGCCGUCGGCAGCAUCAACUCGCCGAAACUCCUACGCCGGGUAGAUGCUCGUGACGCACGACGCGACGAGGACCGCGUACAAUCUGUUCAAAACGUGCCCCGGCCCGCAGUCGGUCGGCAGCCUCGGCCAACUGGACAAUUUUAAUCCACCUACCGCGGACGAACUUGCUGCUGCUGAAGUGCCGAAGCAGAAGUUAGGUUUUGGAGGUGCUGGUGAGCAAACCAGCUGCCGGUUGAAAUGACUGCCGACUAUGCGGCGUUUGGAUCGGUGCCUGUGCCGGCGGCUCCUUAGACAAUGUUAGGUGUUAGAGUUCGGUGGCCAAAACUUUCACCACGCCUGCGUUGAUUGCCGACACCAGCACGAUUCAAUAAUUGGCCAACUCUAACACAAGUGGUGCUACCCGACCCAACUGCAGCCGAUGGAAUGUUUGCCAAGUUUGUCACUUACAAUACGUCUCUUCUUCAUCGGCCACGCCAACGGCCAGCUACACCCAGCCAACGUAAUCUUCCCCAGGAUCUUCUACGAUGGUCUCAGCUGCGCCUUCAGUCUCAACAUCACCUAUUCCAGCGCCCAACAAGCAAGCUUCUUUAGAUACUCCGGUGUCGAAGGCCGAUGUGGUUCAGCCUUCAGCACCAACUCCACGGGCCCAUAUCGGAUCCGUCUCAAGCAGAUAAAUCACCAAAAUCGGAAAACCUCCAGCUCGCGCCAGCAUUACACUUUUCAGCAGCAUCCGCAGGGCACCACGUCGGCGGCGGGGACGGAGAAGGUCGGGGUCAUGGACACGUAACCGGACCCGGUGGAUAACAUUGCGUUGCCGGAGCGUUUGUGCUCGAGGACGAAUCGCUGCAGGUGGGUGCGUCGAAGGCACCAGGUUACUGUGGAACUGACGUUUCAUCGCCGAUCAGCUCCAAAGCAUCGAGCAACUCAACGACACGAGUAGCAGUGGACACAUGCAACAGCAAUCUCAGUCCGGUCGAAUCCGUCGCCAAAUGAGUAGAACGUCAUCAAAUCUCCACAGCAGUCGGGUCCCCCGCCGAGCGGGCUAGCCAAUCGUCAACACAUCGUCCAGAUCCGAGAAAUUGGACCGGCCAGAUCCGUAGACUACGGUAGUUUGAUGAACUCGCGCGAUCAUCCACCACCGUUGGAAGAAAGUUUGAGGCCACAUGCCUCAAUGUUAGACGCGUAGGCAUCUCAGAUCUGCUCGGAUCUGCUUCAGUCAUCCUACCAAAGCCACAUGAAACAGGCCGCGGGAAGCAAUCUAUGUGGCACGAACCCAAAACAUCGUCCUUUUCGGCAAUUCCACCUUCGCAGAACCAUCAAUCGGCAAACUGUCGAACCAUGUCCCGGACCGAUCGGAAAGUACCAGAACCAUUCACCAAACGGAUGGGGCCCUGGAAUGCCACCCUGCCUGGGAAGCAACCAGCAGUCACAUGCAAUCGCGGCGGAGGAAUUGGCAGCAACCGACCAGCACUACCAAUCGCGUGAAAAAAGGAGUACGAUGGGAUUUUAUUUAUUAUAAUACGUUCUUCGACAAAAAAUCAAGAAUACAAGAGAAUUAGUGCAAUUUGUUAAAUUAAACAUCCUUGAUCAUAA
This is a long non-coding RNA of Culex pipiens pallens (northern house mosquito), 2111 nucleotides long. RefSeq lists it as uncharacterized. Lineage: Eukaryota; Metazoa; Arthropoda; Insecta; Diptera; Culicidae. The record is from RefSeq and is a predicted model, not a curated record. The transcript has 4 exons.